This 611-nucleotide ribosomal RNA is filed under the name Klebsiella pneumoniae. RNAcentral describes it as "bacterial SSU rRNA". It matches the Rfam family "Bacterial small subunit ribosomal RNA", at positions 61 to 663 of the family's 1533-position model. The record is from RNAcentral. Lineage: Bacteria; Pseudomonadati; Pseudomonadota; Gammaproteobacteria; Enterobacterales; Enterobacteriaceae.
GUCGAGCGGUAGCACAGAGAGCUUGCUCUCGGGUGACGAGCGGCGGACGGGUGAGUAAUGUCUGGGAAACUGCCUGAUGGAGGGGGAUAACUACUGGAAACGGUAGCUAAUACCGCAUAACGUCGCAAGACCAAAGUGGGGGACCUUCGGGCCUCAUGCCAUCAGAUGUGCCCAGAUGGGAUUAGCUAGUAGGUGGGGUAACGGCUCACCUAGGCGACGAUCCCUAGCUGGUCUGAGAGGAUGACCAGCCACACUGGAACUGAGACACGGUCCAGACUCCUACGGGAGGCAGCAGUGGGGAAUAUUGCACAAUGGGCGCAAGCCUGAUGCAGCCAUGCCGCGUGUAUGAAGAAGGCCUUCGGGUUGUAAAGUACUUUCAGCGGGGAGGAAGGCGAUAAGGUUAAUAACCUUGUCGAUUGACGUUACCCGCAGAAGAAGCACCGGCUAACUCCGUGCCAGCAGCCGCGGUAAUACGGAGGGUGCAAGCGUUAAUCGGAAUUACUGGGCGUAAAGCGCACGCAGGCGGUCUGUCAAGUCGGAUGUGAAAUCCCCGGGCUCAACCUGGGAACUGCAUUCGAAACUGGCAGGCUAGAGUCUUGUAGAGGGGGGUA